RNAcentral lists this ribosomal RNA (372 nucleotides) under uncultured organism. RNAcentral describes it as "bacterial SSU rRNA". It matches the Rfam family "Bacterial small subunit ribosomal RNA", at positions 526 to 896 of the family's 1533-position model. The record is from RNAcentral.
CGGGGGGGGCAAGCGUUGUUCGGAAUUACUGGGCGUAAAGGGUUCGUAGGUGGCCCGCUAAGUCACACGUGAAAUCCCUCAGCUUAACUGGGGAACUGCGUGUGAGACUGGCAGGCUUGAGUGCAGGAGAGGAACGCGGAAUUCCAGGUGUAGCGGUGAAAUGCGUAGAUAUCUGGAGGAACACCGGUGGCGAAGGCGGCGUUCUGGACUGUAUCUGACACUGAGGAACGAAAGCCAGGGGAGCAAACGGGAUUAGAUACCCCGGUAGUCCUGGCCCUAAACGAUGAAUGCUCGGUGUGACGGGUAUCGAUCCCUGUCGUGCCGCAGUUAACGCGUUAAGCAUUCCGCCUGGGGAGUACGGUCGCAAGGCUG